Molecule: ribosomal RNA, 224 nt
Filed under: uncultured Candidatus Saccharibacteria bacterium
Lineage: Bacteria; Candidatus Saccharimonadota
Description: partial 16S ribosomal RNA
Rfam family: Bacterial small subunit ribosomal RNA
Source: RNAcentral
AUAGCUGGUCUGAGAGGAUGAUCAGCCAGACUGGGACUGAGACACGGCCCAGACUCCUACGGGAGGCAGCAGUGAGGAAUCUUCCACAAUGGGCGAAAGCCUGAUGGAGCAACGCCGCGUGAAGGAUGAAGGCCCUCGGGUUGUAAACUUCUUUUAUAAGUGAAGAAUAUGACGGUAACUUAUGAAUAAGCACCGGCUAACUACGUGCCAGCAGCCGCGGUAAU